GAGAAAGUGAUGAUCGUUUCCCCAAAUGAUCGACUCUGAUUAUAUUGUGCGUUUGUUUUACUUAAUUCUC
Molecule: small nucleolar RNA, 70 nt
Filed under: Macleaya cordata
Lineage: Eukaryota; Viridiplantae; Streptophyta; Magnoliopsida; Ranunculales; Papaveraceae
Description: Small nucleolar RNA Z103
Rfam family: Small nucleolar RNA Z103
About the family: This family consists of several snoRNA Z103 sequences which are members of the C/D class of snoRNA which contain the C (UGAUGA) and D (CUGA) box motifs. This family seems to be found exclusively in plants.
Source: Rfam by way of RNAcentral